UACGUAGGGGGCAAGCGUUAUCCGGAUUUACUGGGUGUAAAGGGAGCGCAGACGGCAUAGCAAGUCUGAUGUGAAAUGCGGGGGCUUAACCCCCGAGCUGCAUUGGAAACUGUUAAGCUGGAGUGCCGGAGGGGUAAGCGGAAUUCCUAGUGUAGCGGUGAAAUGCGUAGAUAUUAGGAGGAACACCAGUGGCGAAGGCGGCUUACUGGACGGUAACUGACGUUGAGGCUCGAAAGCGUGGGGAGCAAAC
This 250-nucleotide ribosomal RNA is filed under the name uncultured prokaryote. RNAcentral's name for it is "partial 16S ribosomal RNA". It matches the Rfam family "Bacterial small subunit ribosomal RNA", at positions 524 to 773 of the family's 1533-position model. The record is from RNAcentral.